GAACUGAAACAUCUAAGUACCUGGAGGAAGAGAAAGAAAAAUCGAUUUCCUGAGUAGCGGCGAGCGAAACGGAAAGAGCCCAAACCAAGAAGCUUGCUUCUUGGGGUUGUAGGACACUCUAUACGGAGUUACAAAAGAAAGUUAUAAAUGAAGCGGUCUGGAAAGGCCCGCCAAAGACGGUAACAGCCCGGUAGUUGAAAUGGCUUUCCCUCCAGAGUGGAUCCUGAGUACGGCGGAACACGUGAAAUUCCGUCGGAAUCCGGGAGGACCAUCUCCCAAGGCUAAAUACUCCCUAGUGACCGAUAGUGAACCAGUACCGUGAGGGAAAGGUGAAAAGCACCCCGGAAGGGGAGUGAAACAGUUCCUGAAACCGUGUGCCUACAAGUAGUUAGAGCCCGUUAAUGGGUGAUAGCGUGCCUUUUGUAGAAUGAACCGGCGAGUUACGAUUUGUUGCAAGGUUAAGCGGAAAAAGCGGAGCCGUAGCGAAAGCGAGUCUGAAUAGGGCGCAUAAGUAACAGGUCGUAGACCCGAAACCAGGUGAUCUACCCAUGUCCAGGAUGAAGGUAAGGUAAUACUUACUGGAGGUCCGAACCCACGCACGUUGAAAAGUGCGGGGAUGAGGUGUGGGUAGCGGAGAAAUUCCAAUCGAACUUGGAGAUAGCUGGUUCUCUCCGAAAUAGCUUUAGGGCUAGCCUCGAGGUAAAGAGUCAUGGAGGUAGAGCACUGUUUGGACUAGGGGCCCUUCUCGGGUUACCGAAUUCAGAUAAACUCCGAAUGCCAUGUACUUAUACUCGGGAGUCAGACUGCGAGUGAUAAGAUCCGUAGUCGAAAGGGAAACAGCCCAGACCACCAGUUAAGGUCCCCAAAUAUAUGUUAAGUGGAAAAGGAUGUGGGGUUGCUUAGACAACCAGGAUGUUGGCUUAGAAGCAGCCACCAUUGAAAGAGUGCGUAAUAGCUCACUGGUCGAGUGACCCCGCGCCGAAAAUGUACCGGGGCUAAACAUAUUACCGAAACUGUGGAUGAACCUCUUUAGAGGUUCGUGGUAGGAGAGCGUUCUAAGGGCGGUGAAGUCAGACCGGAAGGACUGGUGGAGCGCUUAGAAGUGAGAAUGCCGGUAUGAGUAGCGAAAGAAGGGUGAGAAUCCCUUCCACCGAAUAUCUAAGGUUUCCUGAGGAAGGCUCGUCCGCUCAGGGUUAGUCGGGACCUAAGCCGAGGCCGAUAGGCGUAGGCGAUGGACAACAGGUAGAGAUUCCUGUACCAGUGCUAAUUGUUUAACCGAUGGGGUGACACAGAAGGAUAGGGAAUCGCACGAAUGGAAAUGUGCGUCCAAGCAGUGAGUGUGAG
This 1344-nucleotide ribosomal RNA is filed under the name Listeria monocytogenes. RNAcentral describes it as "partial 23S ribosomal RNA". It matches the Rfam family "Bacterial large subunit ribosomal RNA", at positions 190 to 1529 of the family's 2925-position model. The record is from RNAcentral. Lineage: Bacteria; Bacillati; Bacillota; Bacilli; Caryophanales; Listeriaceae.